This 246-nucleotide ribosomal RNA is filed under the name Klebsiella pneumoniae. Its description in RNAcentral is "partial 23S ribosomal RNA". It matches the Rfam family "Bacterial large subunit ribosomal RNA", at positions 803 to 1047 of the family's 2925-position model. Lineage: Bacteria; Pseudomonadati; Pseudomonadota; Gammaproteobacteria; Enterobacterales; Enterobacteriaceae. The record is from RNAcentral.
GAUGACUUGUGGCUGGGGGUGAAAGGCCAAUCAAACCGGGAGAUAGCUGGUUCUCCCCGAAAGCUAUUUAGGUAGCGCCUCGUGAAUUCAUCUUCGGGGGUAGAGCACUGUUUCGGCUAGGGGUCAUCCCGACUUACCAACCCGAUGCAAACUACGAAUACCGAAGAAUGUUAUCACGGGAGACACACGGCGGGUGCUAACGUCCGUCGUGAAGAGGGAAACAACCCAGACCGCCAGCUAAGGUCC